Long non-coding RNA from Bubalus bubalis (water buffalo), 3520 nucleotides. RefSeq lists it as uncharacterized. The transcript has 5 exons. Lineage: Eukaryota; Metazoa; Chordata; Mammalia; Artiodactyla; Bovidae. The record is from RefSeq and is a predicted model, not a curated record.
GUCACAAAAGAGUUGGACAUGACUUAGCGACUGAACCACAACAAACACAUACAUACAUACAGGUACACAUACACACACACAAACGUAUACAUAUAUGCCAUAGUUGCUGAAUCAUAGUAAAUACUUUUAAAGUAUUAUUGUGGAGGCAGUGUUUUUGCAGCCUUACUCCAGGGCCCAGAUUUUGGGCUGACCUCAAUUUGAACAGGGGAGGCAAAUAACUGAAGUGCUGUUUUGCUCCAGGUUGAUUGGAAAUGACUGAUUAGAAUAUUGUGUAGAGAAGGUUACUGAGGUUUACUCUGAGAUCAGCUGAAAUUAAUUGGAGUUCCUGUAUGCGUGCUCUGUAGUUUUGCCCUUUCUUGAGACCCGUUUGCCGAGUCUGUCAGUCUGUGCCUUUGCUUUGCAGCCUGAGUGUCUGCCUUAGGCAUUUGCUCAGAUUUUUUUGUCAGGACCAGUCUGGCUAUGUUCAAACUCAGUGCAGUUUCCAGCUCAUAGGGCCACUGCCUGCUUGGGUGAGAGCAAAGGAUUUAAUGAAUAAGAACUAUGUAUGGAUGGGUUCUAACAAGAGGGGUUAGCAGGCUGAUUCAAAAAUAACUACACCGCAGCAACUCUGGAAUAAGGUAGACAGCUGAAGAGGUUCAUCUCCAAGAGAGAAUACAUAACCAUCAUGAGUUAGCCCCAAGAUGCCUACUGUGGUGAGAGAGGAGAGAAGGCAUGAACAGAUAUAAAAGCCCUGACCUAUCAGUGUCAAUCCUGUCUUCCUACUGACCACCGCCUGACCUCUCUGGGCCUCAAUUACUCAUUGAGAAAUAGAGCUGGAUGGUUGUUAAUGAUGGCAUGACACUACUGCAGUAGGGGAGAGAGACAUAUAAACUCAACUCAACUCCACUGAAACAAAAGAUCCUUCAAAAUCUGGUGCCAUCUGCCUGGGAAACCUAAUCAAUUAGUCUCCCACAGUUUGUAUUGUGUGCUCAAGUGCAGCUUGGAACAGCCCCUCCCAUGUCCUGCUCUCAUUUUCAUCUCUGGGUUUUGCUUCUGUUGUUCUCAUUCUCCCCGCCUCCUGCAUCCUUGUCAUGAUUUUCACCCUUCAGAGGUUCAUUCAGUGAAGGCCCUGAAUCUCCAGAGUCUUAUUUGAUAUCUUUAGGUCUUUUUUAUGAACUUUAAAACUUAGUCUUCUUGCCACACAAAUUAGCAUUUAAUUAUCUUGCAUAUUGUGUUUGGAACAUACGUCAUUUUUUUUCCAGAAUUAUGGCCUUUAUUUUUUCCCUUAAUUAUUCAAUAAAGGUUCCUUAAAAAAAGUAAUGGCCUCAUUCAGUGAGGAACAUGUGGAAUUUUGAAAAGAUACUGGGCCUAGAGUUCAGAGGGAUUUGAUUCUCAAUUUUUCUACUGACCAGCUGUUUGAAUAUGUCUCAUCUCUGAGCUUUAAUUUCUUUAUCUGUAAAAUAGUGAGGAUUCAUUCCAAUUAUGGUUAUGAUUAAGUUAGGUGACAUUAUAUUUGCAAAAGUGCCUAACACUGUGCAUGGCCCAAGGUUCAUUUAUAAUAGAUAUUUAUUGAAUCUUUUUAUCAUUUUUAUGUCUAGUAAUUGUCUCCCUAAUUUGAUUUUAGAUUCUUUUAGAGCCAACAAACAUGGCCUAUAUUCUUUUCCACAGUCUCAGAGUGUUGAGUACAUAGUAGGCACCCAAUAAACGCUGGCUGAAGGAAAUGAUUAAUUGCACACUUAGAAGGAAAUGGCUGAUUGUGUGGUGUAUUCUGUGAAGAGUUUAACAGAUGCUCAGUAAGGAAAUGAGUCCUCCAGACACCUACCAAAUAGAGGCUGAAAUUACACAGUUCUAGGAAGUACUAGUUUAGAUUAAUGGCCUUUUGAUCUUCAAAGACUCCCCAACAACCUUUAAAACACUAGGGCAUUCUAAGCAGAAGUCAGAAAAAAAGCUAGGAACCAGAUACAACUAUGAGUAACCCUGAAAAAAACUAAAAGUCAGGCCCAGCAUAAAAAUGCAAUCAGAACUGGGGUUCCGCAUCCCCUCACUCCCUUUUUGUUGAGCUUCCUCAGAGUAAUUUGCUUCUAAACAUCCCCAUGUUAUAAAUGAAUAGAACAUCAGAUGCUGAGAGUGAUUUAUUAUUCAUCAUGAAUAACAAGUGAAUGAAAUAAUUUAACAACCACUAAUAUCUAAAAGGGACCCACUCAUUUUUAAUCAUCUCAUAUGACAUGUGAUCACUCAUUCACCUACAUCCCCCUGAGCUCAUCCCUCUGCAAGGAAGCCUUAGCGGGCAGCAGAAUGCUGUGUAUGUACUUCUGUGACAUGAGUAUAUCAUUAGGUGAAUAUUACAGCCUGUGGGAUCAGGACUAUGUUUUUGUGUGGUGUGACAACUUGACACAAUCCAUACACAUGUCACCUUUUGCAUCCCAUUAGUAUCGAGGGAGCCCACAAAUGCUAAUACGGCAUAGUGAUAAUUAUACAGCUCCCAGUUCUGAGGCUGGGAUUAGAAAUGGCAGCUGUGUUGAUGGAUAUAAAUUGCCGUGGUUUUGUCACAUGAGAGAGGCUACUAAGGGAAUGGUAGCUUGAAGAUAAUCUUUGUCAUGAGAAUGAGUCUAAAGCAUUUAGAAUAGGAAGCAUUUCCUAUCCUAAUUAUAAUCAUGCUGGGGAAUAUUGUACUAGUUAUUUUUGAGGCACAGGAGAGUGUAGAAUGUCUGGCACAUUUGGCGAAUUUCUUUUUUCUAGACACACCAAUUGUAUAUCUAGGAAUUUAAGGGAGGUAAAAUCAAGUUUUGCUGUGAUUAUUAAUCCACACAUCCUGUGAUAAAGGGCAGAGGAGAAAAUACAAUUGAUUAGGAGGCCAGUUAAAUUGGCCAGUUAAUCUACUUGGGUUCUGGUACAAAAAUUAAUAAUGAUGGUUAACAGUGCCUACUACUUUUGACUGCCCGCCAUAUGCUAGGCACUGUUCACACAUUAUUGUAUUUAAUUCUCAUCACAGUUCUGUGGGGUAGGCAAUGUUAUCCCUAUGUACAAAUGAAGAAAUGCAUUCACUCAGCCUUUGGCUAUAUCAGUGUCAACAAAACAGUUUAGGAAAAAGCUUUGAAUGCAAUCAUAUAGCUUAUCUUGAAAAUAAUAAGUUUAAAAUAUCUCCAUUUUUUAAAAGAAAAUCUGUAUGUGCUUUCAGAUAUAACUCCAGUGGAAUUAUUAUUCUAGAGAGAUUAUUGUUUAUAUUAUUACUCUAUUAUUAUUUCUACUAUUACAUUAUUCUUAUUUUUAGUGGAAUUAUUAUUUCUAGCAUAAUCUCUAAAAAAUGGAAUACUCCUCUGUGCUGAGGUUUAGUAGAUCAAUGUAUAUAAGUGUGUAUCUGAAUCACUUGAGAGGAGAGGACUUCUUCAUAUGUGGAUUUCUGAUUCAUCAGGUCUGUGGUGGGGGCAGGAUGAGAUUCUGCACUUCUCAUCACUUCCAUAGUCAUGCUGAUACUGCUGGUCCAAGCACUCAGAUGGGUGGGACUGUUAAGUGAGAGAGACUGAAAGCAAUCUCUUCUAUG